GAUAAAAUGUCAGUUUGGCAAACCGUGCAGUGGAGAUCACAAGUUCAGUGGCAGUGCGCUGCCACAGCCAGAGGCCAGCGUGUCUCCCAUCAUGAAGGUGUCUAAACUUUACACCCUGCAAAACACCUAAAGAUGAUCCCAAAGGUUCCCACAGAACCGCUCGAAAAGGUUGGCACCAGGUCCUCAUAGGGGCAGAUGGUCGCUUGGACCGGGUAGUUGCGCAGGAGCAUCUCUGCGUCCUGGUACAGGUCAUGGUGACUCCUGGACUAACAAGGAAAACAGUCCUCCAUGCAACAACAGGAGGAAGGGCAGGGGAGUCUUCUUCACUGACUUAAGUGGAGAUGCCACAGCCUCAAGACAAUCUGAUACUACCUUCCUGCUUUCAGUUUGCAUGUACAUCUUUACUUUAGUU
Molecule: long non-coding RNA, 412 nt
Organism: Seriola aureovittata
Lineage: Eukaryota; Metazoa; Chordata; Actinopteri; Carangiformes; Carangidae
Exons: 3
Source: RefSeq, a predicted model, not a curated record